This is a long non-coding RNA of Aquila chrysaetos chrysaetos, 753 nucleotides long. RefSeq lists it as uncharacterized. The transcript is spliced from 3 exons. The record is from RefSeq and is a predicted model, not a curated record. NCBI's taxonomy places the organism in Eukaryota, Metazoa, Chordata, Aves, Accipitriformes, Accipitridae.
UACGUCUUGCUUUGCUUUAAGAUGCCAGCCAUAUUGACCUCAGAGUCCAUUUCUCAGACUGCAGCUGGCCAUUCCCUAGGCUGACUUCAGAGUCCCUCAGGAGCUCAGCAGGGAGCUCCAAAGGACGUGCUGCUGCAUCCUGUAACCCCUUCCUGGAAAAAAACAUUUUAGUACACAAGCAGAGAGGAAAACUGGCCUGCAUUGCUGACACCUUGGCCUUCAGAGCACAGGAAACUAUACCCCCAAACUUGCCUGUUUCUUCUCCUGCAUGCCGACAGUGAUACAGGGCAAUACAUCCCACUGCUGUUGAGGUCCUCAAUGUAAAGCAUGAGAGCCCAUCCCUGCCUGGAAACGACCAAGGAGUCUCCCCUCAGUCCCAGUUAAAGCCCGGAUCCAGACAUGACACACAAGCAUCCAUCCUCGCCAGGAGCUGCCACUGUGCUCCUCCCCCUUCUACAUUUCUCCAGCACGACAUCAAUUGAAAUCAUUUCCUCACUGGUUUAUGUCAAUCAGUCAGUCUGCUGGUACCAAGCUGUUAAUUAUCCCAGCUGUUCCUCGGGAACCCAGAAACGUGUCUGCAACCCCAGCCCACAAUGUGUUUCUUGAUAACACAAAGGGAAGUAAAGUAAGUUAAAGUAAGCCAGUUCUGACUGAUCUUUGGACUCCACCAGCUUAACAUUCAGACCGGCUUGUCAAAACAUAUUUCAGCCAGUGGGAGACAUACUGUACUCCUCCAAAUGAUUUAGAUUAACA